Molecule: ribosomal RNA, 636 nt
Filed under: Aspergillus thermomutatus
Lineage: Eukaryota; Fungi; Ascomycota; Eurotiomycetes; Eurotiales; Aspergillaceae
Also listed under: 1 other name
Description: eukaryotic LSU rRNA
Rfam family: Eukaryotic large subunit ribosomal RNA
Source: RNAcentral
GGUUGACCUCGGAUCAGGUAGGGAUACCCGCUGAACUUAAGCAUAUCAAUAAGCGGAGGAAAAGAAACCAACAGGGAUUGCCUCAGUAACGGCGAGUGAAGCGGCAAGAGCUCAAAUUUGAAAGCUGGCCCCCUCGGGGUCCGCGUUGUAAUUUGCAGAGGAUGCUUCGGGUGCAGCCCCCGUCUAAGUGCCCUGGAACGGGCCGUCAUAGAGGGUGAGAAUCCCGUCUGGGACGGGGUGUCUGCGUCCGUGUGAAGCUCCUUCGACGAGUCGAGUUGUUUGGGAAUGCAGCUCUAAAUGGGUGGUAAAUUUCAUCUAAAGCUAAAUACUGGCCGGAGACCGAUAGCGCACAAGUAGAGUGAUCGAAAGAUGAAAAGCACUUUGAAAAGAGAGUUAAACAGCACGUGAAAUUGUUGAAAGGGAAGCGUUUGCGACCAGACUCGCCCGCGGGGUUCAGCCGGCAUUCGUGCCGGUGUACUUCCCCGUGGGCGGGCCAGCGUCGGUUUGGGCGGCCGGUCAAAGGCCCUCGGAAUGUAUCACCCCUCGGGGUGUCUUAUAGCCGAGGGUGCAAUGCGGCCUGCCUGGACCGAGGAACGCGCUUCGGCUCGGACGCUGGCGUAAUGGUCGUAAAUGACC